Molecule: non-coding RNA, 817 nt
Organism: Colossoma macropomum (tambaqui)
Lineage: Eukaryota; Metazoa; Chordata; Actinopteri; Characiformes; Serrasalmidae
Source: the annotation of a RefSeq genome assembly
AUGAUCAGCAUUAGUGACUCUCAGACUCCUCCAGUCCACAGUAGCAACAGACCCUCCGUGUCCCUGCUCCCCCCCUCCUCUCUGCAGCUGUCUGAGGGAUCCGCCUCGCUGCUCUGCCUGCUGUCUGGCUACUCUCCACAGGGGGCGCAGGUGAGCUGGAGAGUGGACAGCUCAGAGGUGAAGGAGGGUGUUCUGACCAGCGUAGAAGAAGAGAAGAACAGCCAAUACAGCCGCAGCAGCACCCUGACCCUCAGCAAAGCACUCUGGGAAAAGGGGGAGGAGUUUGUCUGUACGGUCUCCCACGACAACGUGGACCAGCGAGCCUCGUUCCUAAAGAGCCACUGUGAAGGCUAGCAGCUCCAAGAUAGAGCUGACCAUAGAGCUGCUUUCACAUGCAGCUCCAAUAGAGUUUAAACUCUACACAGUGCUGAUAUUUCUGUCUGUACUCUGUUCAGUGUCCUGUUGCUGUAGCUGUGCUUUUGCUGAGCUGAAAUAAAGCUUCAUUUUGGACAUUGUGAGUUCUUUACUGUAAUGAAUGGUGAUGGUCAGUGUUGUUAGAGAGGGAGUUCAGCUGUAGAUUCAGUGCAGUGCUGUGUGUUGAUCUUGAGGGAGUUUGGCUGAAUUAAGCUGAACAUCUGGUGAAAGUGCUGCUCUAUUCUGGGAGAAAGAGGACGACUCAGGCCUGUUCAUGCAAAUCUGAGUCUCACCCCACUGCUCUCUCUCUCUCUGUCUGACUGUUUACUGCUUAAAACUGCUGGUUUGUGUUCAGCUGGGUGGGCUGUGGGGGGCUGGUUUCACUUCUUACUUUAGUGCUGCU